GAAACUGCGAAUGGCUCAUUAAAACAGUUAUAGUUUAUUUGAUAGUGCACAUUACAUGGAUAACCGUGGUAAUUCUAGAGCUAAUACAUGCGCAAAUACCUGACUCACGAAAGGUAGCAUUUAUUAGAUUUAACCAUCAUAUGGUGAAUCAUAGUAACUUGGCGGACCGCGCUCCGGCGUGGUAAAUCAUUCAAGUUUCUGCCCUAUCAGCUUUCGAUGGUAGUGUAUUGGACUACCAUGGCAGUCACGGGUAACGGAGAAUUAGGGUUCGAUUCCGGAGAGGGAGCCUGAGAAACGGCUACCACAUCUAAGGAAGGCAGCAGGCGCGUAAAUUACCCAAUCCCAAUUCGGGGAGGUAGUGACAAGAAAUAACAACCUGAGUGGUUCGCCACUUCGGGAUUGCAAUGAGAUAAGUCUAAAUCCGUAAGCGAUUACCAAUUGGAGGGCAAGUCUGGUGCCAGCAGCCGCGGUAAUUCCAGCUCCAAUAGCGUAUACUUAAGUUGUUGCAGUUAAAAAGCUCGUAGUUGAAAAUCGAAUCAGCUUCAUUAUGGCUUCGGUCAUACUUGUUAGCUGGUUCUCCGUCUACAAACCAUUUUGCUCUUUUACGAGUGCAGCUUGGAGAGUAGACAAUUUACCUUGAAAAAAUUAGAGUGUUCCAGGCAGGUCUUCGCCGGAAUACAUUAGCAUGGAAUAAUGGAAUAGGACUAUGGUCUUUUGUUGGUUUUAGGGCCAGUGUAAUGAUUAAUAGGGACAGAUGGGGGCAUUAGUAUUUAAUUGUCAGAGGUGAAAUUCUUGGAUUUAUUAAAGACUAACUUAUGCGAAAGCAUUUGCCAAGGAUGUUUUCAUUAAUCAAGAACGAAAGUUAGGGGAUCAAAGACGAUCAGAUACCGUCGUAGUCUUAACUAUAAACUAUACCGACUCGAGAUCGGAAGGUGUACUAUAAGGCCCUUUCGGCAUCGUAAGAGAAAUCAAAGUCUUUGGGUUCUGGGGGGAGUAUGGUCGCAAGGCUGAAACUUAAAGGAAUUGACGGAAGGGCACCACCAGGAGUGGAGCCUGCGGCUUAAUUUGACUCAACACGGGGAAACUUACCAGGUCAAAACAUGGAUGGGAUUGACAGAUUGAAAGCUCUUUCUUGAUUCUAUGGGUGGUGGUGCAUGGCCGUUCUUAGUUGGUGGAGUGAUUUGUCUGGUUAAUUCCGAUAACGAACGAGACCUUAACCUGCUAACUAGUUUGUACCUAAAAAAGGUAUAUAUCUUCUUAGAGGGACUAUGUAUGUUAAAUGCAUGGAAGUUUAAGGCAAUAACAGGUCUGUGAUGCCCCUAGAUGUCCUGGGCCGCACGCGCGCUACACUGACACGUUCAGCGAGUUUAAUCUCCUAUCUCGAAAGGGUAUGGGAAAUCUUGUUAGGACGUGUCGUGCUGGGGAUAGAUCUUUGCAAUUAUAGAUCUUGAACGAGGAAUUCCUUGUAAGCACAGGUCAUCAGCCUGUGCUGAAUACGUCCCUGCCCUUUGUACACACCGCCCGUCGCUCCUACCGAUUUCGAGUGAUGUGGUGAACUAUCUGGACUGUGGACGGGCUCGAACCGUUCGCGGGAAGUUUCGUAAACCUUAUCACUUAGAGGAAGGAGAAGUCGUAACAAGGUUUCCGUAGGUGAACCUGCGGAAGGAUCA
RNAcentral lists this ribosomal RNA (1670 nucleotides) under Paramecium woodruffi. RNAcentral's name for it is "SSU rRNA". It matches the Rfam family "Eukaryotic small subunit ribosomal RNA". The record is from RNAcentral. Lineage: Eukaryota; Ciliophora; Oligohymenophorea; Peniculida; Parameciidae.